CCAAAGGCUCUUUUAAGAGCCACCACAAGGCCACUAAAGAGAGCUGU
Phalacrocorax carbo (great cormorant) is the source of this 47-nucleotide non-coding RNA. NCBI's taxonomy places the organism in Eukaryota, Metazoa, Chordata, Aves, Suliformes, Phalacrocoracidae. The record is from Rfam.